AAGUGACAGAACUGCUUGCAUGGAAGUUUUUCUUCUAAUUUGAAUUGUGUAACUACUUCGUCUAUCUCCAAAGCCAGGAGACAGGAUUACUGCCUUCCAACUAGCUCUGAAGAAAUCCGGAGGCCCUGACCCUCACUGGGAACGCUACUGUGAAUGUGUUGAUACAUGCUGAUGAUGAGUUGGCUGUAAGCAGUAUGACAAAUUGCAUAACAAAGACAUACUUGGCAGCAACAGUAUGCUGCAUUUAUCGAACAAUACUUGUUUUAAUAUGCUGCUACAAUUGCUUUUUUCUGUUGCUUACAUUGUCUCCCCAAAUACACACUGCAGUGAUGCCUGGUGUUAAAACUCACCAGUGAAAACCUCAUGACUUACAGCAACACUGCAACACUCUGUGUGUGUCUGACAUGAAUGGAACUUUUAGGUCAUAGAACCACAGAACAGUUUGAGUUGGAGGGGACUCUUACAGGUCAUCCAGUCCAACUCCACGGCAAUGAACAGGGUCACCUACAGCACCCUAUCUCCAAAACUACCAAUUUUCAGCAGGCUGUGCCCAUAAUCUAUCUACAAAAGAAAGGAGAUGUCAUCAGCCCUUUAAUUCAGUUUGGUUACUCUUUUCCUCAAAAGUAAUAUUUUAAUAUAUCAUCACAGUACCAUUCAAAUCCAGAGUGUUGUUUUUUUUUCCUCACAACUCUACUUUUUUGGACCUGGUACCCGAUGCUGUCACCUACAUGACAUCAGUUCAGCAUUUCAGUGACUGUGGGCACCAUUCUGACCCGUGCACACGUGGAGCCAGCUACAGAGCUGCCAAGCACCAAGGAGCAGGAUUUACCUACGGCUGCACACAGCACACAGAUUUCCCGUGCGAUCCAGGGCAGGCCUGGAGAUUUCUAAAAGCAUUCAUCGUUCAGCCACCUCUGCUUCUGAAAAUUAAUGACAGUUUCACCAUUCAGAGGACCAAGCAACAGGCCUGUUCUGAACUCUGGUUGAAUUCUUACUUUGUUAUUUCUCUGCGAAGUUGACAGAAUCAAUUUAUGCCCAAAAAGACCUUUGAGACUUCUGGAGCACAGCACCUGUGAAUGAUGGAUAUUUUUAUUGCAGAAAAGACACAACUACUUUGCGAAUGGAAAAAUGAACAGCUGAUGAAAAGCUGAGGAUUUAGCCAAAAUCUGCAAGUUUAUCAGAUUGCAAUUCCAUCCCCAGAGCUGGCUGCUGCGGAGUUCAAAGACUGCAAGGCCAGGCUUCAAUUACACCGGGCUGUUUACCCACUUCUUUCUCUCCCUGCCCUUCUGCCGUCCCCGUGCUCAGAUGUCAUAUUAUCCUUAUCAGCAGAUUAAAAAACCUCUUUGCAGAAACACUUAUCUGUAUGAUACCAGCGAUGACACUUAAGCUUCAACUUUCCUAUUUAACACUCCACGUGCCUUACUGAUAUCAUCCUGGACACAUGAAAUUACGUGUUCAGGACUUUCAGGGUCAGGAGAACAGCCAAGUCAGGUCGGGUAAGAGUCCAUCCAGCCUAACCUCCUGUCUCCAAUCUGUUUCAGAGGGAAAGACAGUUGUAGGAUAAACCUCCACUGAAUAAACUUUCCUCUUGUCACACAAGAUUUAUAGCCUCACUUAAGUCUGGAUUCUUGACAGUUCCUUCCCAAACCUCUUCUUUAUUUUUAGUAUUUACUGUAACAGCUGGAGACACUCUUCUUGUUGAUAUGAAUCAACACCAAAUCCUUCCCCAGUCUGACCCGGGGAAUCAUUUUUUCUGAGCCUGAAAAAUGAACUGACAAAACCCCCUUACUUGCUGUUAAUUUUGCAACUGUAAUUUCUUGGAACUGCACCUUCCCCCUGAAUUACGACCUGCUGUCAUCAAUAAACACGUGUGAGGUGAACAUUCCUGAAAUGCAGCUCCCGAAUGCUAACCAAGAGGCUGCAAGGCCCACCUUGCUGCCUACUGAUUUCACUGAAGUGCCUUAAGGAAGCAAGCCUGAAGGAAGGCAAAACCCAAGCCACUGCAUGCCCCAGUCAGAUACUGAACAAUAUUCAACAUACUUCCAAUUGUCAGCUAAUUUAAUAGACGUCGUGAUGUCCUGUCAUGGCUGGGUACUCAUUAACAUGUUAAAAUUAAUACAGCAUGUCUGAUUCCAUUUAAAAAAAA
Long non-coding RNA from Numida meleagris (helmeted guineafowl), 2146 nucleotides. RefSeq lists it as uncharacterized. The transcript has 4 exons. NCBI's taxonomy places the organism in Eukaryota, Metazoa, Chordata, Aves, Galliformes, Numididae. The record is from RefSeq and is a predicted model, not a curated record.